Molecule: non-coding RNA, 30 nt
Filed under: Homo sapiens (human)
Lineage: Eukaryota; Metazoa; Chordata; Mammalia; Primates; Hominidae
Source: RNAcentral
UCCAGUACAUAUGCGCUCAGCACCUGCCCA